This 404-nucleotide ribosomal RNA is filed under the name uncultured bacterium. RNAcentral's name for it is "partial 16S ribosomal RNA". It matches the Rfam family "Bacterial small subunit ribosomal RNA", at positions 30 to 526 of the family's 1533-position model. The record is from RNAcentral.
AUUGAACGCUGGCGGCAGGCCUAACACAUGCAAGUCGAGCGAGCGGCGGACGGGUGAGUACUUCCUGGGAAUUGCCCAGUCGAGGGGGAUAACAGUUGGAAACGACUGCUAAUACCGCCUACGAUUGGAUUGCCCAGGUGGGAUUAGCUAGUUGGUGAGGUAAUGGCUCACCAAGGCGACGAUCCCUAGCUGGUCUGAGAGGAGGAUCAGCCACACUGGAACUGAGACAGGGUCCAGACUCCUACGUGAGGCAGCAGUGGGGAAUAUUGCGCAAUGGGGGAAACCCGGAUGCAGCCAUGCCGCGUGUAUGAAGAAGGCCUUCGGGUUGUAAAGCACUUUCGGCGAGGAGGCGUUACUCGCAGAAGAAGCACCGGCUAACUCCGUGCAAGCAGCCGCGGUAAUUC